CCAGUACCCAAGCCAUUUACAAAAAUUGUUACUGGAAAAAAAGUUUGUAUUCUGUCUAAAAAGAUACCAGGGUACGUAUCCAUAUAUAAGGCACAUAUUAAGCAUAUUACACAUGCUUAACAUGUGUAAGUACUUCUUCUUUAAAUUUGAUACCUGUAACAUAGUGACAACCAAAAUAUUGGAAAGCACUUAAGCACUCCUCCUUUUGGAAAGACUAUAUCACUGUUUGGUUAGUUUACCAUCACAGUUGAAAACCAGAAUGGGAUUUCUCAAAACAAGAGGAGCUGACCAAAGUAGAGUCUCAAGAUGAUUGCUUUUUCUUAGCUGCCAGUUGAUAUGAAAUAAAUAUUUUUCUGGCACAUAAAGAUAAGGAUUGAUGAAUUUAGCCAAUACUCUAAUAUGCCCUCAAAUUUCAAUAUCUAUACCAUGAUAGAUGAAAC
RNAcentral lists this long non-coding RNA (440 nucleotides) under Bos taurus (domestic cattle). RNAcentral's name for it is "long non-coding RNA NONBTAT018723". The record is from RNAcentral. Lineage: Eukaryota; Metazoa; Chordata; Mammalia; Artiodactyla; Bovidae.